UCCUAUGGGGGGCAGCAGUGGGGAAUAUUGCACAAUGGGCGAAAGCCUGAUGCAGCAACGCCGCGUGAAGGAAGACGGUUUUCGGAUUGUAAACUUCUGUUCUUAGUGAAGAAUAAUGACGGUAACUAAGGAGCAAGCCACGGCUAACUACGUGCCAGCAGCCGCGGUAAUACGUAGGUGGCAAGCGUUAUCCGGAUUUACUGGGUGUAAAGGGAGCGUAGACGGCGGCGCAAGUCUGGAGUGAAAUGCCGGGGCCCAACCCCG
Molecule: ribosomal RNA, 264 nt
Filed under: uncultured bacterium
Lineage: Bacteria
Description: partial 16S ribosomal RNA
Rfam family: Bacterial small subunit ribosomal RNA
Source: RNAcentral